RNAcentral lists this ribosomal RNA (253 nucleotides) under uncultured bacterium. RNAcentral describes it as "partial 16S ribosomal RNA". It matches the Rfam family "Bacterial small subunit ribosomal RNA", at positions 524 to 776 of the family's 1533-position model. The record is from RNAcentral.
UACGUAGGGUGCGAGCGUUAAUCGGAAUUACUGGGCGUAAAGCGUGCGCAGGCGGUUUUGUAAGCCAGAUGUGAAAUCCCCGGGCUUAACCUGGGAAUGGCAUUUGGGACUGCAAGGCUGGAGUGCGGCAGAGGAGACUGGAAUUCCUGGUGUAGCAGUGAAAUGCGUAGAUAUCAGGAGGAACACCGAUGGCGAAGGCAGCCCCCUGGGUCAAGAUUGACGCUCAUGCACGAAAGCGUGGGGAGCAAACAGG